UCUGGACUUAAAUCACAUAAUUCCGCUCCAAUUCAUCCCUCUCGUUCCUGAAUACCAUUUAACUCCCCAAAAUCCACCAUAAUUCCCCAAAUCACCCAAUCCCCAAACUGAACUUCAAGAAUACAAACAUUCGGGCAAAUUUACUCAAGAACCCUAACCAACCAUUUGGGCAAAUUUACUCAGUUACGGUGGCCAGCUUUAUUGAAGAACCCUACCCCCAAAAUGGAGUUGCGAAGUAUUUGAAUGAACACUCUGUCGUUGUGGUACAUUCUGGAAGGCGUGUACAUGGAAGUUUCAGAUGAAGGUAAUUUCGCAAUGUUGGGGUGCCUUGGCUGAUUUUUUUUUGUUAUUUGAAUCUAUUGGAAGUACCUAUCCGUGUGCUAUAUUAUGUUUUUUUUUUUUUUUUUUUUUUUUUUUUUUUUGCUCCAUCUUGAUAUGUAUGAAUCGUAUUUUUUUUGGGAUUUAUGAGGUCGAAUUAUUUUAUUUGAAUUGAAAACACUAAGUUGAAUUUUCCUUCAUUUUUCUUGUCAGCCGAACCUCCUUCAUUGUAAUGAAUCUCGGCCAGGACGUUUCGAGAGGGACCAACGCCUACUGCGGAACAUGAAUCUUGGCCAGGACGGUUUCGAGAGGGACCAGCAGCAGCUCAUUGGAAUGCAACAGGCGACCAUCAAGUUCCCGUCGUAAAUGUGAACUUCGACGACACCAUUCACGACAUGCAGGACACGGCAGGACUGGAAUCGGACAAAUUGGGAAAGGCCAAGGCACGAGCACGUCCUAGGAGGAAAUCUGCGAAAUUGGGACAGCAGUGACGAUCAACUAUGUGACAGCAGUCCCAUAUUUUUGUUUGUUGGUGUAUGUUGCUGCAUAUUAUGUUUUUGUUUUUGGUGUAUGUUGCUGCAUAUUAUGUGCCAGCAGUCCCUGAAGUUGGGUGUUUGUGGAUAGUGGUUAGGGUUGUUGGUUCGUGAGGAAAUUGGAGCAAAACCUGGCAACAAAUGUUUUGCAUUGGCGGUUAUGUACUGCAAUUAACCCAAUCUUUUUGUUUUCUGGUGUAUGUACUGCAAUUAAAGCAAGUGUUUAUGUACUGCAAUUAAGGCAAAUAGUUAUGUUUUUCACUAGUAAAUCACAAAAUUCAAAAUGCAGUGUACACAGAUUUUAAGUGCUUUGAGUUGGAUGCAUGGCAAUGAAUACGUUGAUGUGAUUUAUGAGUUUGUUAGUGUAUGACUGGAGAUUGAAAUUUGAUGAGGUUUUCUU
This 1251-nucleotide long non-coding RNA is filed under the name Olea europaea subsp. europaea. Lineage: Eukaryota; Viridiplantae; Streptophyta; Magnoliopsida; Lamiales; Oleaceae. The record is from RNAcentral.